This is a ribosomal RNA of Callithrix jacchus (white-tufted-ear marmoset), 119 nucleotides long. Lineage: Eukaryota; Metazoa; Chordata; Mammalia; Primates; Cebidae. The record is from Ensembl.
AUCUAAGGCCAUACCACCCUGAAUGUGCCCAAUCUCGUCUGAUCUUGGAAGCUAAGCAGGGUUGGGCCUGGUUAGUACUUGGAUGGGAGACCACCAGGGAAUACCAGGUGCUGUAGGCU